AUGAAGACAUGGCAGCUUUUCAUGGUCUAUCUUCUCACUCAUGCCCUCUUUUUUCACACAUCCAGCUCCUCCCAAUCCACGAACAACCAAAGUAGCAACUACAACGUCAAUCUCCGUGUGCUCCUAUCAUUCAGAUCCUUCAUAACCAGUGAUCCUAAACAGGCACUGUCCUCUUGGUCUUGGGAUCAUGUCGGCAACGGCACAAGCACAGCACCAUUGCCUGAUUACUGCGAGUGGACGGGUGUCGCCUGCAUCAACCGCCGGCACCCAGGCCAUGUCACUGCCAUACGUUUGCAGGGCUUGGGACUCGUCGGCACCAUCUGCCCGCAGCUCGGUAAUCUGACCCGCCUCCGCACUCUCAGUCUUUCAUCCAACAACCUAGAAGGUAAGAUCCCGGGUAGCCUCAGUGGUUGUAUAUCGCUUCGUGCCUUGGACCUAAGGAUGAACUACCUUUUUGGCUCCAUGCCUGCUUCUUUGGGUCUCCUAUCAAAGCUCACAUCACUCAGCGUUAGCCAUAACAAUCUGACUGGUGAUAUUCCAAUGUCAUUCUCCAACCUCACAGCCCUCACUAACCUUAGCAUGAGUAGCAACCACUUCCAUGGCCAAAUCCUGAGCUGGCUCGGCAACCUGACAUCACUGACACACUUAGAAUUAGGCCAGAAUGGUUUCAGUGGCCAUAUCUCUCCGGCUCUCGGUAAGAUGGCUAAUCUUGUUAGAUUCGACAUCAGGGCUAACAAACUGGAAGGCCUUUUUCCCACGUCCAUGUUCAAUAUUUCUUCCAUCACAUACUUCAGCAUCGGCUUCAACCGGUUCUCGGGAUCUCUUCCGCUUGAUAUUGGCUUUAAGCUUUCCAAGCUAAAUCUUUUGGCCACACAUGGGAACCAAUUCGUAGGACGAAUACCAUCUUCCUUGUCAAAUGCAUCUGCACUUGAAUAUUUAUUUCUUCGCGAAAAUAAGCAUCAUGGUCCUAUUCCACGGGACAUUGGCAUCCAUGGUCAUUUCCGGAAAUUUUCGUUAGGACACAAUUUGCUUCAAACCACAGAGCCUAGGGAUUGGGAUUUCCUCACAUCAUUGACAAACUGUAGCAACCUGGAAAUACUAGACCUUGAACAAAACAACCUUGAAGGUGUUAUGCCAGUUACCAUUGCUAAUCUAUCUAGAAACAAAAUAACUGGGACCAUACCUGCAGGGCUAGGAAAGUAUAAAAAACUUACAAAGUUUAACAUCGCAAAUAGCCUUUUCACAGGCACCUUGCCUCUAGAUAUUUGCCAGAUUCCUAGCCUACAGUAUCUCGAUCUAUCCCAUAAUAGAUUCUAUGGGAAGAUUCCACAAUCAUUAGGCAAUAUCACCCAAUUGUACAACCUCUCUCUUUCUAAUAACUUUCUGGACGGCAUCAUUCCAUCGAGCAUUGGAAAUCUCACAAAACUUUUAUCUCUGGAUCUUUCCGGUAACUCAUUGGGGGGGGGGAUCCCAUAUGAGAUAGUUAGUGUUACCUCUCUGACCUUACUUAUCAACCUCUCCAGCAAUGCUCUUAGUGGCUCCAUUCCAACACAGAUAGGAAAGUUGAACAACCUUGUCACACUCGACUUAUCAAUGAACAAGCUCUCUGGUGAAAUCCCAGAUGCUCUCGGCAGUUACGUCCAACUGAAUUUCCUAUAUUUGCAAGGAAAUCUUUUGCAUGGGCAAAUACCAAAAGAUUUUUCUUCUAUAAGAGGCCUCGUAAAGUUGGAUCUUUCCAAUAAUAAUUUAACAGGACCCGUACCUGAGUUCCUCCAGAGUUAUGAGCUCCUAACGUAUCUAAACCUCUCUUUCAACAACCUAUCUGGUCCCAUGCCAAAUACAUGGAUCUUCCGCAAUUCCACUAUAAUGUUGCUCCCUGGUAAUAGCAUGCUAUGCGGAGGUCCCCCAUCACUGAAACUGUCUUCAUGUCCAUAUAUACGUUCUAACCAGGCUUCACAGCAUCGACGUCGGGUCAUACUCUUUUGCAUGGUUGGAACUUUGGUCUUAUCCAUGUGCUCCCUAACUGCAUGCUACUUGAUGAAGCCAAGAAUCAAACCAAACAUUGUUGAUCAAGAAACCAUAUUUCACCAUGAGAGGAUAUCCUAUGCUGAGAUAGAUGCAGCAACAGAAUCAUUCUCACCGGAAAAUUUCAUUGGUUCUGGAAGUUCUGGCAAUGUGUACGUUGGAACUCUAAAUCUUGAUGAGAGUUUAUAUACUGUAGCAAUCAAGGUUCUCAAUCUUGGCAAACGAGGAGCUAAUAGAAGCUUCUUGAGAGAGUGUGAGGCCCUAAGGAAGAUUCGACACCGGAAACUUGUCAAAGUGAUCACUGUGUGUAGCAGUUUGGACCGUAAAUGUGAUGAGUUCAAGGCAUUUGUCUUAGAGUUUAUCUGCAACGGAAAUUUAGAUGAGUGGCUGCAUCCAAACUCCAUGACUAACAACAGGAACUUUAGAAGGCUAAGUUUGAUGGAAAGGCUAUGCAUUGCUCUUGAUGUUGCUGAGGCAUCAGAAUAUCUUCACCAUCAAAUUGAGUCAUCCAUAGUUCACUGUGAUAUCAAACCGUGCAACAUCCUUCUAGAUGAUGACUUUGUUGCGCACGUCACCGACUUUGAUCUGGCAAAGAUAAUGCAUACUGAAGAAUGUGAGCACGGUGGUAUUGGAACUGCAAGCAGCUCAUUUGUGAUUAAAGGCACAAUUGGAUACGUUGCACCAGAGUAUGGCUUGGGAUCUGAACCCUCCACAGAAGGUGACGUAUAUAGCUACGGGGUGUUGCUAUUAGAAAUAUUUACUGGAAGGAGGCCAACCGACAAUUUCAUGGAUGGUGUGAUAAGCCUUGUCAAAUAUGUCAUGGUGGCCUAUCCUGAUAAGCUACUGAAUAUAUUGGAUGCGAGUGCAACCUACAGCGAGACACGCAGCGUAUUGUAG
This 2922-nucleotide ribosomal RNA is filed under the name Triticum aestivum (bread wheat). RNAcentral describes it as "partial small subunit ribosomal RNA". The record is from RNAcentral. Lineage: Eukaryota; Viridiplantae; Streptophyta; Magnoliopsida; Poales; Poaceae.